This is a non-coding RNA of Kogia breviceps (pygmy sperm whale), 3589 nucleotides long. Lineage: Eukaryota; Metazoa; Chordata; Mammalia; Artiodactyla; Physeteridae. The record is from RefSeq and is a predicted model, not a curated record.
CCCAUGAGACUCACCUGAGGUCACACAGCUCAUUAGAGGCACGGCCAGGGACCCGAGGUCUGACUGAGCCCAGGCCCCUUCUCUGUGCCGAGCGGAGGAGGUGGGUGGGAGUCCAGGGCAGGCCCAGCAGGACUGGGCAGCAGACAUUCUCAGGCUGUUACCCUCCCUUUCUCUAAGGCCUCAUCUGUGUGCUCCUCUGUCCCCAGAUACUCUCAUGUUAACACCAAGGCUGGGAAACAGGAAGGACCCUGCCCUGCCGGCGGCAGUUAGAUCCCCGGGUGGGGGCAAGUGUGCAUCUGUAGGAGACUAAGCACCAGGUCUCAUCACGAUGGAGAGAAGGACUAACUUCUCAUGUCAUGAACAUGGACCUGCAGCCUCAUUUUCAGUGGCUGUACUAUAUUCCAUUUUUCCAGUUAUGCCCACUUUAUUUAGUCAGGCCCAGAUUGAUUUUUGGACACGUAGGUUUUUCCCAGUCUUUCUGCCUCAUAAAUAAUGCUUCAGUAAACAUCACUGGACUUUCAUCUUCACGCGCCUGCAUAACCAGAAUAACUUUUAGCAGCCGGGUAACUGGGACGGAGGCAAAGCGCUCUUGCAGCACACUGAUUAAAUCCCUCUGGUGUCAGCCAGACCUCGGCGUGAGCACACGUGCGCGCACACAGGCAAGUUGCUUAGUUCCCCUGAGCCUCCUUUCUCUCCUGUACAAAACAGAGCAGCAGGUAUGCAACCCUUACCCGUCGUUCCAAAAUCCACAAAGCUCUCCUUCGUAGCAAAACCACCCUGUACCAGUGUACUGACAUGAGGUUAUUCAUAGUAUUUACACACGGUGUGACUAUUCAUAUAUUUUGCUGCAGAAAUAUUAAUACGAUUGCCUGUGGGGUGUUGCACUACACCAGUGUUUAUCCACUUUUUGGGGUAUUUUUUUCAUUAUCAUCCCCCAAAGGGCCUUUUAAAAACUUUUUCUUAAUUGCCGUUCCAUGAAAUUUUAAUAUCAUAGUUAAUAUUGUACAUCUGUAUGUGUACUGUAUGCAUAUCUGUGUCAAGGUUCCCCCCACCAAGAACCAGUUUUCACCCCCUUGGGGACAGUAUCGUUCCCGUAGAGAAUGCAUGACCUAGACCAGUAGUUCUCAACCAGGCGCGACUUUGCCCCCCAGGGACAUUUGGCAGUGUCUGGAGACAGUUUGGGUUGUCACAGCUGUGGGUUCGGGCAUCGGUCGGUACAGACCAGGAAGGCUGCUGGCCUCCUCCAGCGCACAGCGACGGCCCCCCUGCAACAGGCCAGAGUUCUAAGGUUGGCAGACCCUCCUCAAGACCCCACUGGGGGUUCCUCCCAAUAUACAGUAUGUGCUCUCAUCUGUUGCCCUUCUAAAAUCUGAAUUAGAAUGCAUCUGGCCCCUGGGUUAGGGGUCAGGGCCACUGGAGCUGUAACACUGAAACCUACUUCACAGGUCGGUGGGAGGACCCUUUGGGGGUCCUCCCCAAAUCAGUAAAUGCACUUUACUGAUGCAGUAAGGUGCAUUUCUUGGCACCUGGCCGUGGUCCGUGCUCACCCAGGAUGAGCCAAAGUGCCCGAGCGCCAGACGUCCAGGGUCCUGCGCCUGGAUGCUGUCUCCACAUUGAGAAAUACACGUUCAGGAGCCUUUCAAAAUCACUAGGUUUGCCUUCCAAGUCCCGUUAAGUGGGCGCUGGCCCCAAGGAUGCCCAGGGCUUUUCCAGCAUGCCUGAAAGCUUGCAUGGGCACCAGCUCCUUACAGAUGGGUCUGUUAGUUUGUUUGUGGGCUUGGACCAAGGUGCAGUGUCUGUUUGAACGUGCCUCUGGGCUUGGCCAGCAGCCAGUGGUAAGCCGGCCUGGAGCGGUGCAUGGGGACCAGGCCCCGAAUCCUGGAGCUCGAGACAGAGGCUUCCGAGCGCUCUCACCCACUUGUGACCCAGUGAGCCACGUGAUGAGCAAACGGCACCCUGAAGCAAGCAGUUCCGCCCCGACUUGGGUGCUGCUAAGAGUUGGCCAAAGAGACACCAUCCACUGGGCAUUUUCCAGGGCCUCUGGCUUCCCAAGGGCUGGACCGGGAAGCAGAGGUGGGUUGAGUUGUGAGUUACAACAGGCGGCGCCCUGGACCCUGGGCAGGGUCUUUGAACAAAACCACAGGCUGGGCUGGGCACCAGAAGGAAACAGGGCCCUUGGCUCUGUUCCAGGCGAUGGAAUGUCGGCCCAACUGGUUUUCCUCCUUCACUGGAGGAGCCGGGCGCUCAUAAACAAGGGAACUGCCAGGCCCGUCAACAGCAGAGAGGUCCCGGGCUCUGCCCCUGCCCCUGCCCUGCCCCCACGCCAGGGGAAGAGAUGCCCCAUCCGUGCUCCGUGCCAUCUCUGCAGACCAUCCCCUUAUCCUCACGGUGGGUCCGUAAGCCUCUCCUGCAGGGCUUUUCCACAGGGUGUAUGGGAUGGGUCGGUCCCGUCCCCAGCAUAGCCCACUGUCAGUGAAGGUGGUGUUUCGCUUCACCUAUUCCUAGGCUCUUUGGUCACCUGCACUGCCUUCUCCAUUCUCCCCCAUCUGUUCAAUCUGACCCACUUUUCAAGGCCUGGGCCAUGUCACAUGCCCUCUGUCACUUGCCACUCCUGAGCCCCUGUAUGCACUCUCCUCCCCUUCUGUCUGGGGCCCCGAAGUACUUCGGGUGCCUGGGGUAGGAAAUCAUUAAUCAUGGGGCCCAAGAUGACCAAGGGGUGACCUAAGGUGGACUUGUCUGCCCCUUGUGCCCAGUAAACUUUCUGUAACAGCUUUGACAUCUCCAUAUCAGCACUUAAAAUUCUACUUCAUUGUUUUUGAUGGCAGCACGGAUUCCCUUGCAGGGAUAAACCUGUUUACAGAUGCCCUUAUGGAAAGACAACUGGGUUGUGUUUGCUGUUAACCAAAAACCAAAUGCUGCUGCUGGGAGCAUCUUUGGGUGUGUGAGUUGAUAUCGCGGAGGAGGUGGUGGGUGUGUCCUGCCUGGGAGAGAUGCCGGUGGAUUUGGGAUCCUGAGGCAAUGGACAGACACACCGGCUCCCCGCCUCCUCCCCGGGUUCACACUUGCGUCAAGGCUGCAGUUCUGUCGCCUGACACGUUGAGCCAUCGCCUGAAAUAAACACGAGAGAGAUGUUCUGACAUGUGAUGUUUCAAAAAAAAAAAAAAAACAACACAGAGUCAAAUUUGGCGGAGACUGUUUUAAGAAUCCCUCCAGGAGAGCCAAGUCAGGGUAGAUGGGAGCAGAUCCCAUGAAGAAGAGAUGCUAGGAAACAUGAAAGAAUUAUGUAUUUACGUAGAAUCGUACAUUUUAACGUUUAUUUUAAAAAACUACCAACAGCAAAUGUUACAAAAUACAAAAAGAGGUAGAAUUUUAAAACUGUGUCUCCCUCUCUCCUCCUCCCCCUGUCACUCGCUUCCCCUCCCAGAGGCAAGUGUGAUGACAGUUUUCCUAUGUCCUUCUCACAUAUUCUAUGCAUUUUCAAAUAUUUACGUAUAUAUUUUUCCUCACUCCACCUGUUGCUUCCAGCCUUGCCUUAUUCACUUGACAGUGUAUCUUGGAAGUCACUCCAUAUCGGGACACAUACAUCUCC